CCUACGGGAGGCAGCAGUGAGGAAUAUUGGUCAAUGGCCGGAAGGCUGAACCAGCCAUGCCGCGUGAAGGUCAGUGCCCUAUGGGCGUUAAACUUCUUUUGUGCUGGAGCAAUAAUGGUCACGUGUGGCCAGACGAGAGUACCGUACGAAUAAGCAUCGGCUAACUCCGUGCCAGCAGCCGCGGUAAUACGGGGGAUGCAAGCGUUAUCCGGAUUUAUUGGGUUUAAAGGGUGCGUAGGCUGUGAGGUAAGUCAGCGGUGAAAUGCCCCCGCUCAACGGGGUGAAGUGCCAUUGAUACUGGCUGGCUGGAAUGCGGAUGCCGUGGGAGGAAUGUGUGGUGUAGCGGUGAAAUGCAUAGAUAUCACACAGAACACCGAUUGCGAAGGCAUCUCACGAAUCCGCGAUUGACGCUGAUGCACGAAAGCGUGGGUAUCAAACAGGAUUAGAUACCCGAGUAGUC
Molecule: ribosomal RNA, 460 nt
Filed under: uncultured bacterium
Lineage: Bacteria
Description: partial 16S ribosomal RNA
Rfam family: Bacterial small subunit ribosomal RNA
Source: RNAcentral